Epinephelus lanceolatus (giant grouper) is the source of this 2210-nucleotide non-coding RNA. Lineage: Eukaryota; Metazoa; Chordata; Actinopteri; Perciformes; Serranidae. The record is from RefSeq and is a predicted model, not a curated record.
UUGACGCGGUUAGGUCGUUUCUGGUGGUUAACCCAGUCAAUGUGGGAGACUCGGUAAUGUCCAUGAAAGAGGCUAUUUAGCGAGUAAAUUCCGCAAGAAACAGUCGUUAUUUGUUGAAGGACCACUUCAGGCUUCUGUUUGAAGCGGCUGAGUUUCACCUCUGCGUGGAGCUGAAUCAGAAAUCAUCGGAGCCGCGGGAGAAGGUAAGGAGAGAUGUCGUACUACAACUCCCGUAGUUCAUCUCGGGCCACUGACUGUAAAGUGUACGUGGGUGAUUUAGGCAAUGGUGCUGCCAAGGGGGAGCUGGAGCGAGCAUUCAGUUAUUAUGGCCCACUGAGGACCGUCUGGGUGGCCAGGAACCCACCUGGGUUUGCCUUUGUGGAGUUUGAGGAUCCCAGAGAUGCAGAAGAUGCUGUGAAAGGCAUGGAUGGAAAGGUCCUUUGUGGUUCCCGUGUUCGUGUGGAGAUGUCAACAGGCCUCUCCAGGAAGGGCCGUGGGCGCCCCAGCCGACGCCAGUUUGACCCCAAUGAUCGGUGUUACCAGUGCGGGGACCGGGGCCACUAUGCCUAUGACUGCUAUCGCUUCAGCAAGAGAGGAGGCCGCCGCAGCAGCAGGUCUCGCUCUCGUUCUCGAUCUCGCUCCAGGUCCAGGUCCCGUGGGCGCCGUUAUCGUUCUCGCUCUCGCAGCCGCAGCCACAGCCGGAGCCGUCGCCGAUCUCCAUCCUAUUCCAGGCGCAGGAGCAGGUCUGGCUCCCCAGCACGUUCCAAGUCCAGGACUCCAGUGAGAAGUCGUUCCAGAUCUCGUUCUCGGUCCGGCUCUGCGCCCAGAGGACGCUCUGUCUCCCGAUCCCGCUCGCGAUCGCAGUCUGCCACUCACAAGAGGAACAGUGGUGGGAGCUGAGCACUGCACUGACAACGCAGAUCAGCCUUCGCCUGCAUCUGGUGUUAGACAGCGAGAAAGAGGUCGACCUACCGACCGAACCCGCCCAACAGUGAAUGGGUGACCGUCUGUUCAACCGACGCACACGCUCAGACGAGAUCAGCCCGCGCACACAUACAGUUGCUCUACUAGAAUCACCCAGCCAGCCAGCCAGCCUUCAGAUGUACCAGAGGGCUGACCCACACAGAUCAGAGUUCGACCACUACCUUUUUAAAUCCAUUACCUACCUACCAGACCCCCUACCUACCAGAGUUCUUCGGCCUCUGUCUUAGCUUCUGAAAGUGAGAGAAAGAGAGCUGACGAGAGAUCAGUCUUCAAGAGCCUCCCAGCGCAGUGUCUCUCCAAGUUGUAGUCAUCCGUCCUUCAGUCCUUUCAUCCUUCGCUUCUCUGUACUUGUUGUUUCUGCCACUGUCUCCAAAGUCGCUCCCGUUCAGCAAGUCCACACCGAAGCCCUACGCCAGCGGACGACUGAGUGAAGAAGACAUAUUAGUUCCUUAACAGACAGACCCUCAACCCCUGCACCCUGUCUGCUUUUACAGCCCUACAGCAGGUUUUUUUUCUUGUACUUGUCUCAUCCCAGUAUUGUUUAAAGUUUAAUUUUCUCCCCAGGACUGUUGUCUUCAUGCAGCCUCAGGUUGUUGAAGUCUGUUUAGUGCACAAAAAAUCAGUUUCCUUUCGACAGAGGUUGUUUUAGGUGUUGCUGCGGCUGUGUCUUUCUUCUCUGGAUUCGCAUAACAAGUGUAAGAAGCAUCAAUCUCAAUGUUGCCGUUGACUUUUAGCAGUGAUUUGAGCAGCUCGUACAUUAAAUUUUCAGUGGAAGACAGCCCACUUGAUGCAGUUCUUGAGGGUGAAGACAAUGCAUUGAAAAACUGCUUUUAUUCCCUAACACACAUGAAAAUCUCUCCCCAUUGAGAAACGGUAAUCAGUUUUUCUGUAUAGCUCUCCAAUUAGAUUUUUGAGUUCAAAUGUUGUUUAACCUUUAGUCAUGAUGGCAAAAGGAGGUAGUUGCUGGCCUGCAUGCCUUUAAAUAGGAUGUCGCAUUCCUACUGUCUGUUGUUUCUGUACUGCACUGCCCCUUUUAUGAACCUGAUCACCUUCACUGUGUGCUGAAUAUGUUUUCCCCAUGUGUUAGUCUCAAAUUUGUUCCAGUGAUUUUUAAUUUGUGCUGAAGUUUGAUUUCUGCAAGGGCUCCUCCAACAGUUUUGAUGUGUUCCUGGCUUAUAUGGUAAGACAGUGGCAGUUUUAUUUUUGAAUAAACCUCUUCAACAUAC